Molecule: RNA transcript, 836 nt
Organism: Cebus imitator (Panamanian white-faced capuchin)
Lineage: Eukaryota; Metazoa; Chordata; Mammalia; Primates; Cebidae
Gene name: ras-related protein Rab-40C-like
Exons: 1
Source: RefSeq, a predicted model, not a curated record
AUGGGCUCGCAGGGCAGCCUGGUGAAGAGCUACGACUUACCUUCUCAAGUUCCUGCUGGUGGGCAAGGGCGAGAUCCUGGAGAGCUUGCAGGACUGCGCGGCCGAGUCCCCGUAUGCCUACAGCAACAGGAUCGACUACAAGGCCACCACCAUCCUGCUGGACGGCCAGCGCGUGAAGCUGGAGCUCUGGGACACGUCCGGCCAGGGCUGGUUUUGCACCAUCUUGAGGUCCUACUCCAGGGGCGCUCAGGGGAUCCUUCUGAUGUAUGGCGUCACCAACCGCUGGACUUUUGACAGCAUCGACUGCUGGAUCAAGGAGAUCAACGAGCAUGCGCCCGGAGUCCCCGGAUCUUGGUUGGAAACCGGCUGCACCUGCCCUUCAAGCGGCGGAGUCCUAACGGACCAGGCCGGCGCAUACGCAGAGAAGAACUGCAUGACCUUUUUCCGAGGUCAGCACCCUGUGCAACUUCAACGUCAUCGAGUCCUUCACGGAGCUGUCCCUCAUCGCACUCAGGCGGCACGACAUGGAGAAGAUCUGGAGGCCCAACUGAGUGUUCAGCCUGCAGGGCCUCUGCUGCCGGGCCAUCGUCUCCUGCACCCCGGCGCACCUCAUCGACAAGCUUCCACUGCCCGUCACCAUCAAGCCACCUCAAGUCCUUCUCUAUGGCCAACGGCAUGAACGCGGUCAUGAUGCACGGCCGCUCCUACUCCCUGGCCAGCAGGGACGGGGCGGUGGCAGCAAGGGCAAUAGCCUGAAGAGGUCCAAGUCCAUCCGCCAGCCCCAGAGCCCCUCCCCUCCCCUCAACUGCUCACGGAGCAACUGUAGUAUCUCCUAG